This 73-nucleotide transfer RNA is filed under the name Bos taurus (domestic cattle). It matches the Rfam family "tRNA". From Rfam's summary of the family: Transfer RNA (tRNA) molecules are approximately 80 nucleotides in length. Their secondary structure includes four short double-helical elements and three loops (D, anti-codon, and T loops). Lineage: Eukaryota; Metazoa; Chordata; Mammalia; Artiodactyla; Bovidae. RNAcentral also lists the same sequence under 2 other names. The record is from Rfam by way of RNAcentral.
UUCCCAGUGGCUCACUCAGUAAAGAAUCUGCCUGCAAUGCAGAAGACCCUGGUUCAGUCUCUGGGUUGGGAAG